RNAcentral lists this long non-coding RNA (907 nucleotides) under Homo sapiens (human). RNAcentral's name for it is "non-protein coding lnc-TLE3-6:11". The record is from RNAcentral. Lineage: Eukaryota; Metazoa; Chordata; Mammalia; Primates; Hominidae.
ACUGCACUCCAGCCUGGGUGACUCCGUCUCAAGAAAAAAAAAAGAAAAAGAAAAAGAAUUUGCUUGCAACUUAACAUGCGUAGUACCUAUCUCCCGAGUGACCCUUUUUGGGAAUAAAUGACCUGAUUCACAUUUUUUUUAACCAUGGUUUCAGAGCAAAAGGGAAACCAGAGUCUGAUAAGGAAACGUAAGACUUGACAAGCUGAAAUCUUAUUAGCUCCUAGAGAUAUACAUGCAACGAAAAACACCUAGGAGAUCCAGCGGCAUGUGGGGCGUUAUGGCACCGCUGGGGGUACUUUAGCAUGUACAACUGCCCUCGUAAAUCAGCAGGCCUUACCACAAUCACUUUGCCACCAUCACCUUACCUUUGCAAACAAGCCAGGCCAAAAAGGCUCAACAUUUACACCGGCUGCUUUAAUGAGGGCAUUGAUCUUAUCCUCCUACAACAAAUAAAAACGUCAAUCCAUCAAAACGUAGCGUAUGUAAUAUCUCCAAAAUGCUGCACGUCACUCAAUAAGUGUACAUAACAUGUUUAACCAGCUCAAAUAUUCUAUCACAAGCAAAAGAGAUGUGUGCCAGGCGCCCUGCAAUGAGGCGAGCCCAUCACUGCUGUUUCACGGGCUGGGACUUGCCUGAGUCACGCGGCUAUUUUUAAGUUACAAGACCUGGGAGGUGGAGCCGAGCUCGGGCGCCUUCCUCCACGACCGGGGGAAUUCAAGGCAAUUACACCGAAAGAGGUCCGAGUAAGUGUCCCUGAGAGAGACGAGGCACGGGUCAGGGUGCCCAAGCACUGCGGAAGAGCUUUUCUACACGAAGGCUCUUGGAGCCGGAUGAAGUGAGGGCCUCACCCCAACGCAGCCUUAGCUUCCUCGGAAGGACCGAGCACCUUGGCGGCAGCUGAGGAAAG